This 200-nucleotide ribosomal RNA is filed under the name uncultured Glomus. Its description in RNAcentral is "partial small subunit ribosomal RNA". It matches the Rfam family "Eukaryotic small subunit ribosomal RNA", at positions 591 to 796 of the family's 1831-position model. The record is from RNAcentral. Lineage: Eukaryota; Fungi; Glomeromycota; Glomeromycetes; Glomerales; Glomeraceae.
CCAAUAGCGUAUAUUAAAGUUGUUGCAGUUAAAAAGCUCGUAGUUGAAUUUCGGGGUUAGUAGGUUGGUCAUGCCUCUGGUAUGUACUGGUCUCACUGAUUCCUCCUUCCUGAUGAACCUUAAUGCCAUUAAUUUGGUGUUUUGGGGAAUUUGGACUGUUACUUUGAAAAAAUUAGAGUGUUUAAAGCAAGCUAACGCUU